Molecule: long non-coding RNA, 243 nt
Organism: Bubalus bubalis (water buffalo)
Lineage: Eukaryota; Metazoa; Chordata; Mammalia; Artiodactyla; Bovidae
Exons: 2
Source: RefSeq, a predicted model, not a curated record
CCUGGCUGGAACAGAAGGCUGCAUUCCAUGAACUCAACGUUCUUGAAAAUGCCUUGCUGCCCAUCAGUCUCGCUCAGGGGCUCUUUCGCCACAGUCCUCACUUUUCACAGCUUUUAUCGCUGUUUGUCUUCCCUUGGAUAUGAAUGUCCGUUUACACUACAUCCACUAAUGGAUUCUGGAACCUUCGCUGCUGUGAGGGUGUGUGUGAAUCCCAGCAGAUGGCAUCUUAGUUGCAUUAAUACA